This 231-nucleotide ribosomal RNA is filed under the name uncultured bacterium. Its description in RNAcentral is "partial 16S ribosomal RNA". It matches the Rfam family "Bacterial small subunit ribosomal RNA", at positions 118 to 347 of the family's 1533-position model. The record is from RNAcentral.
UGAGGAACAUGACCUUCGGCGGGGGAUAGCCGGCCCAACGGCCGGGUAAUACCGCGUACGACCACAUGGGGACAUCCCUGAGGGGUGAAAGCAGCAAUGCGCCGAUGGAGUGCCUCGCGGCCUAUCAGCUAGUUGGUGAGGUAACGGCUCACCAAGGCGACGACGGGUAGCUGGUCUGAGAGGAUGGCCAGCCACAUUGGGACUGAGACACGGCCCAGACUCCGUAGGNGG